Molecule: long non-coding RNA, 207 nt
Filed under: Homo sapiens (human)
Lineage: Eukaryota; Metazoa; Chordata; Mammalia; Primates; Hominidae
Description: LNC_000185
Source: RNAcentral
GCAGCUGCUGGUUGGCCUCAUGCAACUGGGUCCCUUUCUGUUUUGUAGCCUCCAGCAACUCCUCCCAGAGGCUGGCAACUUCACUCAGACGAGUGGUCACAUUGUCAGAGGCAUAGUGACCACCCUCAAUCAUCUCUUGGCCAGUUUUCUGUAUGUUUUCCAGCUGGGUCUUAUUAACUGCCAACUCCUUUUCAAAGACUUGCUGCU